AUUGAACGCUGGGCGGCAGAGCUUUACACAUGCAAGUCGAACGGUANCAGGAGAAAGCUUGCUUUCUUGNUGACGAGUGGGCGGACGGGUGAGUAAUGCUNGGGAAUCUGGCUUAUGGAGGGGGAUAACGACGGGAANCUGUCGCUAAUNCCGCGUAUUAUCGGAAGAUGAAAGUGCGGGACUGAGAGGCCGCAUGCCAUAGGAUGAGCCCAAGUGGGAUUAGGUAGUUGGUGGGGUAAAUGCCUACCAAGCCUGCGAUCUCUAGCUGGUCUGAGAGGAUGACCAGCCACACUGGAACUGAGACACGGUCCAGACUCCUACGGGAGGCAGCAGUGGGGAAUAUUGCGCAAUGGGGGGAACCCUGACGCAGCCAUGCCGCGUGGAUGAAGAAGGCCUUCGGGUUGUAAAGUUCUUUCGGUAUUGAGGAAGGUUGAUGUGUUAAUAGCACAUCAAAUUGACGUUAAAUACAGAAGAAGCACCGGCUAACUCCGUGCCAGCAGCCGCGGUAAUACGGAGGGUGCGAGCGUUAAUCGGAAUAACUGGGCGUAAAGGGCACGCAGGCGGUUAUUUAAGUGAGGUGUGAAAGCCCUGGGCUUAACCUAGGAAUCGCAUUUCAGACUGGGUAACUAGAGUACUUUAGGGAGGGGUAGAAUUCCACGUGUAGCGGUGAAAUGCGUAGAGAUGUGGAGGAAUACCGAAGGCGAAGGCAGCCCCUUGGGAAUGUACUGACGCUCAUGUGCGAAAGCGUGGGGAGCAAACAGG
RNAcentral lists this ribosomal RNA (762 nucleotides) under uncultured Haemophilus sp. Its description in RNAcentral is "bacterial SSU rRNA". It matches the Rfam family "Bacterial small subunit ribosomal RNA", at positions 28 to 776 of the family's 1533-position model. Lineage: Bacteria; Pseudomonadati; Pseudomonadota; Gammaproteobacteria; Pasteurellales; Pasteurellaceae. The record is from RNAcentral.